Molecule: long non-coding RNA, 299 nt
Organism: Bubalus bubalis (water buffalo)
Lineage: Eukaryota; Metazoa; Chordata; Mammalia; Artiodactyla; Bovidae
Exons: 3
Source: RefSeq, a predicted model, not a curated record
GGAGUCGGGAAAAGGUGACCCAUUCGGCUCCCCAGGAAAACUGGGUGCAGUUACUGGAGACAAGGGAAUGGAUACUGGGAGGAUAGUGAAGGUUUCAAGGAAGGGUCCAGGCUGGUGACAGUACAUUCAGGCUGCUAUCACGGAACAUCGCAGACUGGGUGACUUCUCCACAAUGGAAAUUCAUUGUUCACAGCUCUGGAAGCUAGACGUCCAAGGUCAAGGCUGCAGCGCGGUUGCCUUCUGAGCAGGGGACAUGUGGUUGAUCCCUGGUCUGGGAACGAAGACCCCACAGGUCUCAG